Molecule: ribosomal RNA, 677 nt
Filed under: uncultured archaeon
Lineage: Archaea
Description: bacterial SSU rRNA
Rfam family: Archaeal small subunit ribosomal RNA
Source: RNAcentral
CCCUAUGGGGUGCAGCAGGUGCGAAAACUUCGCAAUGUGGGAAACCACGACGAGGGUAAUCCAAGUGCUUGCACAAUGUGUAGGCUGUUUCCAUGCCUAAAAAGCAUGGAGAGUAAGGGCUGGGUAAGACGGGUGCCAGCCGCCGCGGUAAUACCCGCAGCCCGAGUGGUGGUCGUUAUUAUUGGGCCUAAAACGUCCGUAGCCGGCCCGGUAAAUUCGUGGGGAAAUCGGUCAGCUCAACUGACCGAAGUCCGCGGAGACUGCCGGGCUUGGGACUGGGUGAGGUCAGAGGUACUUCAGGGGUAGGGGUAAAAUCCUGUAAUCCUUGAAGGACCACCAGUGGCGAAGGCGUCUGACUAGAACGGAUCCGACGGUAAGGGACGAAGCCCUGGGGCACAAACGGGAUUAGAUACCCCGGUAGUCCAGGGUGUAAACGCUGUGGGCUUGGUGUUGGGAGUCCCACGAGGGCGCCCAGUGCCGGAGAGAAGUUGUUAAGCCUACUGCCUGGGGAGUACGCUCGCAAGAGUGAAACUUAAAGGAAUUGGCGGGGGAGCACCGCAACGGGUGGAGCGUGCGGUUUAAUUGGAUUCAACGCCGGAAAACUCACCGGGAGCGACGGUUACAUGAAGACCAGGUUAAAGGCCUUGUCUGAUUUUCCGAGAGGUGGUGCAUGGGCC